AAACAGUCCUUUUUUAAUAGAUAUACCUAUACUGGAAAUUACCUAGAAAUAUCUGCCAUAAAAUGCAAACCUGUAUAAGAGCAGAUAAAAUAAACCCUCAGGAAAAAAUUUGCACAAGCUGUCAUCCUUUUAAAAGGUAAUAAUGUGCCCCUUUUGAUAUGGAGCAAUUGCAUAAGGAGAAAAAUCCUCUAAUAUUCUUCUAACAUAAAAAUUUAACAUUUCUGUAACCAUGCUGCAAUACUCUGCAAUAUACCACCUCAAUAAUCUGAAUUCAUAAGACUGAAUUCUCUUCUAAUACUUAAGAUUAUCUAUCACUGUACCAUAAAAAAUUAUGGUGUGGCCACUGGUUAAGAAAUGUUCAUUGGAGCAGCAGCAUCACAGAAAAACAUGGAGACAAAAACUGCGCCCAGCUGGUGGAAUGACCUCUUGAGUCUUUACUCAUUUUCAAGGAACAUCUAAAGACUCAUCUUUUUCGCCAGCACUUAACCAACUAAUACUAGCACUUUUCCUUCUUUUCAAAAAAUAAAACCUUGCAUUGCGUUCUGUACUAGACUAACUGAGACUUGUCAUGGCACUUGUAUACCGUUGUUGUUCUCUUGUUGACCUGACCGCUUCUAUUGUUCUCAUUUGUAAGAUGCUUUGGAUAAAAGCGUCUACUAAAUGAUAAAUGUAAAUGUAAAAGGUGUCAGGUUCUCAGAGACUUCCAAACAUGGCCUCCACGUAAUAAGAAUCACAAGCUGAACUGUCAUGAAGUGUAAUGAAAGCAUGAAAAAAAAUUAGUUUAAAUAUCUCACCUAUUGCAUUUUCAUAUAAUAAUAUUAGAUAGCUGUUAAGUUGCUAAUUUAGCAGUAAGCUGUUUAAAAUAAUUCAAAUUAAGCAGAUUUCUUCUGCCACCUUGAGAUCAAUCUAAAUACAACGUCAACAGAAACCAGUCCCUAUUUUGCUAAUGUCAACAGCACUAAAAUAUUUAAAUAUUUUGUUCUUGACCCUCUGUCUGUAAAAAUUACUUGUAGCACUUGUAACAUUUAAAGAUAACAUUGAACUUCUGAUGAAAAGGCUUUUAGGUAGUUUUCUACUUCCAUCUGGAUUUAUAUGUAGAUGUAUAUUUAGCAAAGUGCAAAAGACUGCAAAAGUUUAGACAUAUAGUAUGUUAUCAUCAGCAUAAGAGAUUUGCCCCGUUGAAUUUUGCAAACCAAAU
Long non-coding RNA from Carassius gibelio (silver crucian carp), 1198 nucleotides. RefSeq lists it as uncharacterized. The record is from RefSeq and is a predicted model, not a curated record. The transcript is spliced from 3 exons. NCBI's taxonomy places the organism in Eukaryota, Metazoa, Chordata, Actinopteri, Cypriniformes, Cyprinidae.